UUUUACGCUUAACAAUCGAUUGUCCAAGAUCAACAAUCGAUUUUUGGCAACGUUUAAAAAAUCAUUUCCAGAUUUUACGUAAAACAAUCGAUUAUACCAAAUCAAUAAUCGAUUAUUCAGCAACGUUUAAAAAAUCCUUUCUAGAUUUUAAUUUCAACAAUCGAUUGUACAAAAUCAACAAUCGAUUAUUCAGCAACGUUCAAAAAAUCUUUUUCAGAUCUAAAUAUCAACAAUCGAUUGUACAAAAUAAACAAUCGAUUGCCUGACGGUAUUUGAAAACUUUACGACAAUGGUCAGCUUCACAAUC
RNAcentral lists this long non-coding RNA (307 nucleotides) under Nicotiana benthamiana. RNAcentral describes it as "long non-coding RNA (NBEN_LNC041323)". Lineage: Eukaryota; Viridiplantae; Streptophyta; Magnoliopsida; Solanales; Solanaceae. The record is from RNAcentral.